UUAUUUCUGAGCCUAUGCUGCUCUUCAAUCCUAAUGGAGUUUAAGACUUGGGUUAGGGUGAGAACUCCUUGGGUAUGGCUCAGGGUCUUGGCAAAAUCAAACCAGGAAGUAGGUAGUUUAUCUAUCAGACAGGCUACCUGGAAUGAUUCAUCCAAAUUGGUUCCAUUAGCCCUAAGCUGGUGGAUCAGGGUUUCAAAUUCAUGAAUUUGGUCAUUCAUAGGCUUUGAGUCCACCAUCCUAAACUUAUUGAAAUCGGAGGCCUUGAACCUCUUUACCCCACCAUCAUCAAGACCAUAUUUGCUAUCUAGGGUGUCCCAG
RNAcentral lists this long non-coding RNA (318 nucleotides) under Phoenix dactylifera (date palm). Its description in RNAcentral is "long non-coding RNA (PDAC_LNC011025)". The record is from RNAcentral. Lineage: Eukaryota; Viridiplantae; Streptophyta; Magnoliopsida; Arecales; Arecaceae.